Molecule: long non-coding RNA, 1247 nt
Filed under: Oryzias sinensis (Chinese medaka)
Lineage: Eukaryota; Metazoa; Chordata; Actinopteri; Beloniformes; Adrianichthyidae
Description: lncRNA (ENSOSIG00000002668.1)
Source: RNAcentral
AGAAAUAAAGGAAAAAGAAAGAAAAAAAUAUGUAUAGUUGUUGAGUUAGUUACAAGGGGGCUUACAAAGAGCUCCGACCGAAGUUUAGGGACACUAACCUGAGUUCUGAGACUCCUACCAUGAAAAGAAGCAUCCGACCCUCAUCUCUCACGAAAAGAGUCUCAGUGAAAAUCUGGUAAAAAUGUAUACUAAGGAGGGAAAAAAUAAAAUAAAAGAAUAAAUAGUUCCGCCAGCUGUCUCCGCGCGCUGUCUCUGGGGGUCCGUGAGACCCCGAACAGAAUUGGAACCAGUCAGUGGCUCCGUGCGCUGUCUCUGGGCGUCCGUGAGACCCUGAACAGAAUUGGAACCAGACAGUGGCUCCGCGCGCUGUCUCUGGGGGUUCGUGAGACCCCUAAAAAGAAUUAGAACCAGACAGUGGCUCCGCCCGCUGUCUCGCAGGGUCCGUGAGACCCCGAACAGAAUUUGAACCAGACAGUGGCUCUGCGCGCUGUCUCUGGGCGUACGUGAGACCCCGAACCGAAUUGGAACCAGACAGUGGCUCCCCGCGCUGCCUCCGGGGGUCCGUGAGACCCCGAACCGAAUUGGAACCAGACAGUGGCUCCGCGCGCUGUCUCUGGGCGUCCGUGAGACCCCAAAAAAAAUUGGAACCAGACAGUGGCUCCGCGCGCUGUCUCUGGGGGUCCGUGAGACCCCAAACAGAAUUGGAACCAGACAGUGGCUCCCCGCGCUGUCUCUGAGGGUCCGUGAGACCCCGAACAGAAUUGGAACCCGACAGUGGCUCCGCGCGCUGUCUCUGGGCGUCCGUGAGACCCCAAACAAAAUUGGAACCAGACAGUGCUUCCGCGCGCUGUCUCCGGGGGCCGUGGGGACCCCAAAAAAAAAUUGGAACCAGACAGUGGCUCCGCGCGCUGUCUCGCGGGGUCGGUGAGACCCCGUACAGAGUUGGAACGAAACACAGGCUCCGAGCGCUGUCUCCCGGGGUCCGUGAGACCCCGUACAGAAUUGGAAGUAAACACAGGCUCCGCACGCUGUCUCGCACGGUCCGUGAGACCCCGAACAGAAUUGGAACCAAACUGUGGCUCCGAGCGCUGUCUCGCGGGGUCCGUGAGACCCCAUACAGAAUUUGAAGGAAACACAGGCUCUGCGCGCUGUCUCGCACUGUCCGUGAGACCCCGAAAAGAAUUGGAACGAAACACAGGCUCCGAGCGCUGUCUCGCGGGGUCCGUGAGACCCCGUGCAGAAUUGGA